UUGAGAUUUCAUUGGUAGCGCCAACAAA
RNAcentral lists this small RNA (28 nucleotides) under Bombyx mori (domestic silkworm). RNAcentral's name for it is "ovarian small RNA-37707". The record is from RNAcentral. Lineage: Eukaryota; Metazoa; Arthropoda; Insecta; Lepidoptera; Bombycidae.